Molecule: ribosomal RNA, 459 nt
Filed under: uncultured bacterium
Lineage: Bacteria
Description: partial 16S ribosomal RNA
Rfam family: Bacterial small subunit ribosomal RNA
Source: RNAcentral
CUACGGGAUGCACCAGUAGGGAAUAUUGGACAAUGGACGAGAGUCUGAUCCAGCCAUCCCGCGUGCAGGAAGACUGCCCUAUGGGUUGUAAACUGCUUUUAUAAAGGAAGAAAAAUAGUCAUGCGUGACUUACUGACGGUACUUUAUGAAUAAGCACCGGCUAACUCCGUGCCAGCAGCCGCGGUAAUACGGAGGGUGCAAGCGUUAUCCGGAUUCACUGGGUUUAAAGGGUACGUAGGCGGGCGUAUAAGUCAGUGGUGAAAUCCUGCGGCUCAACCGUAGCACUGCCAUUGAAACUGUAUGUCUUGAGUAUGAUCGAUGUAGGCGGAAUGUAGCAUGUAGCGGUGAAAUGCAUAGAUAUGCUACAGAACACCAAUAGCGAAGGCAGCUUACAAGAUUAUUACUGACGCUGAGGUACGAAAGCGUGGGUAGCGAACAGGAUUAGAUACCCCCGUAGUC